RNAcentral lists this ribosomal RNA (253 nucleotides) under uncultured bacterium. RNAcentral describes it as "partial 16S ribosomal RNA". It matches the Rfam family "Bacterial small subunit ribosomal RNA", at positions 524 to 776 of the family's 1533-position model. The record is from RNAcentral.
UACAGAGGGUGCGAGCGUUAAUCGGAAUUACUGGGCGUAAAGCGCGCGUAGGCGGCUUUGCAAGUCGGGUGUGAAAUCCCCAGGCUUAACCUGGGAACUGCAUUCGAGACUGCAUUGCUAGAGUAUGGGAGAGGGAAGUGGAAUUUCCGGUGUAGCGGUGAAAUGCGUAGAUAUCGGGAGGAACAUCAGUGGCGAAGGCGACCGCCUGGCCCAACACUGACGCUCAUGCACGAAAGCGUGGGGAGCAAACAGG